CCUGCAAAACAACAGGUCAUGAAGAGAGGAAUGAGGAAAGCAGAGAGGGGCUCACAGCUUGCUAUUGGAGCAAAUAAUGAGAAAUUUAUCUGAAGGAACACUGCAAGAUGUUACACUGCAGAAUACCCAGUGAGCAGCAGAGAGACGAAAACAACGUGGUCCUGUGCUUCAGCUGCAGCAUUUAGGGACCGCUGCUGGAUUACUGUCCCUGGAUAUUGGCAUGGCUGUCUUUCUGCACGGAAAACAAGUGGAGAAUAUUGCUUCAGUCCAAGUAGUGGAAUUACCUUAGAAUAAGUGUGCAACAGAAGUACGAAGAAUCAAGCCAGACUCUUAAUUUGACUGUAGUGAAGCACAGACAUUUUUCUGCCUCUCAGAGCUCUGUACAAGUUUAUGAGCAAUAAUUUAGUCAUUGAUUUAAAAAAAAAUACUACCGCACUACUUUGUACAGAUUUAAUAUAUAUGAGAUAUA
RNAcentral lists this long non-coding RNA (469 nucleotides) under Anas platyrhynchos platyrhynchos (common mallard). Its description in RNAcentral is "lncRNA (ENSAPLG00000030409.1)". Lineage: Eukaryota; Metazoa; Chordata; Aves; Anseriformes; Anatidae. The record is from RNAcentral.